GGGAAGGUCUCCUCUUACCUCCCCCCUCCUCCCCUUCCGCCCAGGGACUUGAUGCAUAAGCAGGAGCCAUUUUGUGUACGGCUCGUCUUCUGCGUGGAAGCGCUCGGCGGUGAAGAGGUGGUUAAAAUGUCCAAGGGUGGCCCCGGGCUCGCUGAGUGAAGUGAGUGGUUGACGCUCGAUGUGCCAGGAAGGUCCCGUUCAUCAGGGCUGGGUGGAUGCAGCUGGUGGCGACCGCUGAGCCUUCUCUGGGAAGAGGGCCUUUUGGUGAUUUCUGACCAAACUCUCGAAGUCUGAGUGUGCAGGAGGCUGUUGCUGAGAGGGGACUUCAGGGAGCAGUGGCAGAGCUGAGAGACAGGAGUGGAGGAUGACUCAGCAGGGAGCUGUUCUUCAGGGUUACAAUAAUGAACUUGUGAAGUGUAUUGAAGACUUGUGUAUUCAAAAAGAAGAGCUGAACAGACAAAUCCAACAAGCAGAAGAGGAAAAAAAUAAACUCCAGCACGAAAUCCAAGUCCUGAAAGAUCAACUGGACUGUGUAUGUGAAAACCUGGCCCAAAAGGUAGCUUCACGGAAUGAGCUUGAUAAAAUUCUUGCUGAAACUGAAGCUGCUUACAUGAAGAUUUUGGAUAGUUCUAGAACUUUACUUAAUGUCCUGAAGAAGGAAGUGGGAAGCUUAAAGCAUACACCAGAACUGAAAACCAAUGUAACGUGAAACGGUCAAAUGUUUGGACUCCACAGUGCUAAAAUUCCACUAGGUGAGAAAUGUGGUUAGCCACAGAACCUUACAACAAUGUAUAAGCAGAGAGGGAUUUUCUUCUGACCGUUCUCUGUGUUUUAUUAUUAUUUUUUAAUGCACUAGAAAAUAGAUGAAAUAAAGUUGAUGUUUUGCUGUUAAAAAUAA
Columba livia (rock pigeon) is the source of this 898-nucleotide RNA transcript. It is a transcript of the gene named microtubule nucleation factor SSNA1, with no coding region annotated. The record is from RefSeq and is a predicted model, not a curated record. The transcript is spliced from 3 exons. Lineage: Eukaryota; Metazoa; Chordata; Aves; Columbiformes; Columbidae.